RNAcentral lists this ribosomal RNA (478 nucleotides) under uncultured bacterium. RNAcentral describes it as "bacterial SSU rRNA". It matches the Rfam family "Bacterial small subunit ribosomal RNA", at positions 364 to 832 of the family's 1533-position model. The record is from RNAcentral.
UUUCGCAAUGCCCGAAAGGGUGACGAAGCGACGCCGCGUGCGGGAAGAAGGCCUUCGGGUUGUAAACCGCUGUCGGGAGUUAAGAAGUGCAGGGAUGUUAAUAGCAUCCUUGCUUGACUGAGGCUCCGGAGGAAGCCACGGCUAACUCUGUGCCAGCAGCCGCGGUAAUACAGAGGCGGCAAGCGUUGUUCGGAAUUAUUGGGCGUAAAGAGCACGUAGGCGGCCGUGUAAGUCGGUUGUGAAAGCCUUCCGCUCAACGGAAGGACGGCAUCCGAUACUGCAUGGCUCGAGUGCGGGAGGGGAGAGUGGAACUUCUGGUGGAGCGGUGAAAUGCGUAGAUAUCAGAAGGAACACCGGCGGCGAAGGCGACUCUCUGGUCCGUAACUGACGCUGAGUGUGCGAAAGCUAGGGGAGCAAACGGGAUUAGAUACCCCGGUAGUCCUAGCCGUAAACGAUGGGCACUAAGUAGAGGGGUUUU